This 555-nucleotide long non-coding RNA is filed under the name Medicago truncatula (barrel medic). RNAcentral's name for it is "long non-coding RNA (MTRU_LNC008590)". Lineage: Eukaryota; Viridiplantae; Streptophyta; Magnoliopsida; Fabales; Fabaceae. The record is from RNAcentral.
UAUCAUGUUGUUUAUCACCAAGAGAAAUGAUACCAAGACGAUCUAAUUUAAAAACAUAUGAAGAACUAAUAUGUCCUAAUCUAGCAUGCCAAAUAUCAUAUGAAUCAAUCAAACAUGCAGAAGGAAUAUUUUUAUUCAUAAAUGUAGAGAUAUCCAACACAAAUAAAUCGUUACUAUAAAAUCCUUUGCCUACAAAGCCCCCACAUUUUGAAAGUAAAACUUUGUUUGAUUCAAAAGUGACUGUUACACCCGCUUUGCUCAAUAUAGACACAUACACCAAAUUAUAACUCAUAUGAGGCACAUAUAAAACAUUACUUAAAGAUAUGGUUUUUCCAGAGGCAAGUUUUAAAUCCACUUUUCCUAUACCAAGAACAUCAACUGUUCCCGAAUCACUUAAAAUGAUAUGUUCCUUUCCUUUCGCUAUUUAUAAGAUGUGAACAUAUUUUUAUUUGCACAAAUAUGUGAGGUAGAGCCUGAGUCUAGCACCCAUGGUUUUUCCUUCAUUGAAAGUAUUGUAUGAGAAAUAACAUUCACAUGUAUAUCAUCUGACAAAAC